RNAcentral lists this ribosomal RNA (465 nucleotides) under uncultured bacterium. Its description in RNAcentral is "partial 16S ribosomal RNA". It matches the Rfam family "Bacterial small subunit ribosomal RNA", at positions 28 to 507 of the family's 1533-position model. The record is from RNAcentral.
GACGAACGCUGGCGGCGUGCUUAACACAUGCAAGUCGAACGGAAAGGCCCUGCUUGCCGGGUACUCGAGUGGCGAACGGGUGAGUCACACGUGUGUGAUCUGCCCUGCACUUCGGGAUAAGCCUUGGAAACUGGGUCUAAUACCGGAUAGGAGCCAUUUUUAGUGUGAUGGUUGGAAAGUUUUUUCGGUGUAGGAUGAGCUCGCGGCCUAUCAGCUUGUUGGUGGGGUAAUUGCCUACCAAGGCGGCGACGGGUAGCCGGCCUGGGAGGGUGGCCGGCCACAUUGGGACUGAGACACGGCCCAGACUCCUACGGGAGGGAGCAGUGGGGAAUAUUGCACAAUGGGCGCAAGCCUGAUGCAGCGACGCCGCGUGGGGGAGGACGGCCUUCGGGUUGUAAACUCCUUUCGCUAGGGACGAAGCUUUUUGUGACGGUACCUAGAGAAGAAGCACCGGCUAACUACGUG